AGUGAACGCUGGCGGUAGGCCUAACACAUGCAAGUCGAACGGCAGCACAGUAAGAGCUUGCUCUUACGGGUGGCGAGUGGCGGACGGGUGAGGAAUAUAUCGGAAUCUACUUUUUCGUGGGGGAUAACGUAGGGAAACUUACGCUAAUACCGCAUACGACCUACGGGUGAAAGCAGGGGAUCUUCGGACCUUGCGCGGUUGAAUGAGCCGAUGUCGGAUUAGCUAGUUGGGGGGGUAAAGGCCAACCAAGGCGAGGAUUCGUAGCUGGUCUGAGUGGCGGGUCGGCGGCAUUGGAAGUGAGACACGGUCAAGGCGCCUAAGGGAGGGAGCAGUGGGGAACAUUGGACAAUGGGCGGAAGCAUGAUCCAGCCAUACCGCGUGUGUGGAGAAGGCCUUCGGUUUGUAAAGCCCUUUUGUGGGGAAAGAAAAGCAGCAGGUUAAUACCCCGCUGGUCUGACGGUAACCAAAGAAUAAGCACCGGCUAACUUCGUG
This 492-nucleotide ribosomal RNA is filed under the name uncultured bacterium. Its description in RNAcentral is "partial 16S ribosomal RNA". It matches the Rfam family "Bacterial small subunit ribosomal RNA", at positions 29 to 507 of the family's 1533-position model. The record is from RNAcentral.